RNAcentral lists this transfer RNA (69 nucleotides) under Ateles belzebuth (white-bellied spider monkey). Its description in RNAcentral is "tRNA-His". It matches the Rfam family "tRNA". Rfam says of the family: Transfer RNA (tRNA) molecules are approximately 80 nucleotides in length. Their secondary structure includes four short double-helical elements and three loops (D, anti-codon, and T loops). The record is from RNAcentral. Lineage: Eukaryota; Metazoa; Chordata; Mammalia; Primates; Atelidae.
GUAGCUAUAGUUUAACCAAAACAUUAGAUUGUGAGUCUAACGAUAGAAGCCCGCAACUUCUUAUCUACC